CCCUGCCUAGGCCAGCCUGCACUCAGCUCAGAGCAGGCUAUUGGUCCAGCGGGGUCAAGUAAAAAAGCCAGAGCCAGCUUUGGUGAGACUGGAGUCACUGCAACAGGCACCCCUCAGUGGAGGAUGGUCUGCUAUCCCCACUGGUAUUCAACUUCAGAAUUUCCUUGGGUUAUGCCACCGGGUCAUUUCAAAUAAACACCUUCCCUGAUUAUGUUACAGCCUGGCUAUUAUUGGUUGAGGGCAGCGAGAAUCUACAUCGAUGAUGGAAUCAUGGAGUAAAAACAACACAGAUUGUCUUUUUACAGAGUUAAAUAAGUUUGCUUUAGAAAGAGAACCCAUGUAUAUCCCACAGAAUGACUCAAGAUUGUGAGUAUUAGGUACAGUCCAUCAAAUACACUAACUUUCAUUUCUUUGAUUGAUGGAUUUUUAGAAAAAAAUAAAAUAAAUGUUUUGCUAA
This is a long non-coding RNA of Talpa occidentalis (Iberian mole), 457 nucleotides long. RefSeq lists it as uncharacterized. The record is from RefSeq and is a predicted model, not a curated record. Lineage: Eukaryota; Metazoa; Chordata; Mammalia; Eulipotyphla; Talpidae. The transcript is spliced from 3 exons.